AACGAACGCUGGCGGCAUGCCUAACACAUGCAAGUCGAACGAGACCUUCGGGUCUAGUGGCGCACGGGUGCGUAACGCGUGGGAAUCUGCCCUUGGGUUCGGAAUAACAGUUGGAAACGACUGCUAAUACCGGAUGAUGACGUAAGUCCAAAGAUUUAUCGCCCAGGGAUGAGCCCGCGUAGGAUUAGCUAGUUGGUGGGGUAAAGGCCUACCAAGGCGACGAACCUUAGCUGGUCUGAGAGGAUGAUCAGCCACACUGGGACUGAGACACGGCCCAGACUCCUACGGGAGGCAGCAGUGGGGAAUAUUGGACAAUGGGCGAAAGCCUGAUCCAGCAAUGCCGCGUGAGUGAUGAAGGCCUUAGGGUUGUAAAGCUCUUUUACCCGGGAUGAUAAUGACAGUACCGGGAGAAUAAGCCCCGGCUAACUCCGUG
This 433-nucleotide ribosomal RNA is filed under the name uncultured bacterium. Its description in RNAcentral is "partial 16S ribosomal RNA". It matches the Rfam family "Bacterial small subunit ribosomal RNA", at positions 29 to 507 of the family's 1533-position model. The record is from RNAcentral.